CCUACGGGGGGCAGCAGUGAGGAAUAUUGGUCAAUGGCCGGGAGGCUGAACCAGCCAAGUCGCGUGAGGGAAGACGGCCCUACGGGUUGUAAACCUCUUUUGUCCGGGAGCAAGGUGCAGGUCGGGACCUGCUGUGAGAGUACCUGAUGAAAAAGCAUCGGCUAACUCCGUGCCAGCAGCCGCGGUAAUACGGAGGAUGCGAGCGUUAUCCGGAUUUAUUGGGUUUAAAGGGUGCGCAGGCGGAGGCACAAGUGAGCGGUAAAAUCGCGGGGCUCAACCCCGCUCCGCCGUGGAAACUGGGUGCCUUGAGUGCGCGGAGGGUAGGCGGAAUGCGUGGUGUAGCGGUGAAAUGCAUAGAUAUCACGCAGAACUCCGAUCGCGAAGGCAGCCUACCGGCGCGCAACUGACGCUCAUGCACGAAAGCGUGGGUAUCGAACAGGAUUAGAUACCCUAGUAGUC
RNAcentral lists this ribosomal RNA (459 nucleotides) under uncultured bacterium. RNAcentral's name for it is "partial 16S ribosomal RNA". It matches the Rfam family "Bacterial small subunit ribosomal RNA", at positions 338 to 795 of the family's 1533-position model. The record is from RNAcentral.